CUACCAGACUCCUACGGGAGGCAGCAGUGGGGAAUAUUGCACAAUGGGGGAAACCCUGAUGCAGCGACGCCGCGUGAGUGAAGAAGUAUCUCGGUACGUAAAGCUCUAUCAGCAGGGAAGAAAAUGACGGUACCUGACCAAGAAGCCCCGGCUAACUACGUGCCAGCAGCCGCGGUAAUACGUAGGGGGCAAGCGUUAUCCGGAAUUACUGGGUGUAAAGGGAGCGUAGACGGUUAAGUAAGUCUGGAGUGAAAGGCCGGGGCCCAACCCCGGGACUGCUCUGGAAACUAUUUAACUUGAGUGCAGGAGAGGUAAGCGGAAUUCCUAGUGUAGCGGUGAAAUGCGUAGAUAUUAGGAGGAACACCAGUGGCGAGGGCGGCUUACUGGACUGUAACUGACGUUGAGGCUCGAAAGCGUGGGGAGCAAACAGGAUUAGAUACCCCGGUAAAC
RNAcentral lists this ribosomal RNA (450 nucleotides) under uncultured bacterium. RNAcentral's name for it is "bacterial SSU rRNA". It matches the Rfam family "Bacterial small subunit ribosomal RNA", at positions 328 to 795 of the family's 1533-position model. The record is from RNAcentral.